RNA transcript from Oryza sativa Japonica Group (Japanese rice), 1748 nucleotides. RefSeq lists it as uncharacterized. The record is from RefSeq and is a predicted model, not a curated record. NCBI's taxonomy places the organism in Eukaryota, Viridiplantae, Streptophyta, Magnoliopsida, Poales, Poaceae.
CGAGACACUCCAGCCUAUCGAGCGGUCACUACUCACUAGCAGUUGGAAUUUGGACAGCAGCAGCAGCGGUGAGCGCGGCGGCGGCGGCGGCGGCGACUUGCUCUCCUCCUCCCCACAGUCCAGUUCUUACAGGAGACGAACGCCGGCGAGCCGCCUCCGCCGCAGCUAUGGCUUCCAGGACGCUCUCCGUCUCCUCCCUCGCCUCCGCCUUCGCCUCCAUCCCCCGCCCCAGGCCCCCUCCUCCGCCUCCAUCUCGCAUCCGCGCCUCCCCUCUCUCCACCGCCGCCGCCGCCGCCAGUGACGGCGACGCCGCCGACGGGGUCGACACCGUGGAGCAGCUCCUCGUUACGAAGCCCCCCGCCUCCUCCUCCUCCUCCUCCGCGGGAAGGGGCCGGAUCGACCGGCUCAUGAAGCUGCAGCGUCGCGCGGACGGGGACUUCCCCCCCGGCGGGGCGGGGCGGAGGUGGUUCCCUUACCUGGACGCGUUCCGGGCGGCGGGGGGCGUGGAGCUGACUAGCCGGGAGGUGCUGGAGGUGCUGGAGCCGCACAUCAUGGAGGCGCGGCGGGAGCGGAUCCGCCGCGCCGUCGAGAACCGGAGCUACUCCGUUUGCCUCGUCGUGGAGGGGCUCUCUGACUUCGGGAACGUCUCCGCGGCGUUCCGGUCCGCCGACGCGCUAGGCGUGCAGUCCGUGCACGUCAUCUCCUGCGACAACAACAAAAGGUAUAGAGACAAUAGGCAUGUGAGCAUGGGUGCUGAGAAAUGGCUUGAUAUCGAAUUAUGGAGCUCAACUGCAGAAUGCUUUGAUGCUUUAAAAAAGCGUGGUUAUCGCAUUGCAACUACUUAUUUGGGAAAUGAUUCGGUUUGUGUGUACGACAUGGAUUGGUCGCAACCUACCGCUAUUGUUGUGGGCAAUGAACUUAUGGGCAUAAGUGAUGAUGCUUUAAAGUUGUCAGACUUGCACUGCAGUGUUCCUAUGAAAGGCAUGGUGGAUUCUUUUAAUGUAUCUGUUGCAGCUGGAAUCCUUAUGCACCAUGCUGUCUGUGAUCGAAUUUCCCGCAUCGGUCAUCAUGGUGAUCUCUUGCCUGAAGAAAGUAGAAUAUUGCUUGCGGAGUUUUAUUUGCGCCACAGACAGAGCACAGCUGGCAUAGUUCACGAAUAUGCCAAAAGAAAGGCAGGAAACUUCAUGGCCAAACUUUGACAACUAUCAUUAUAGUUACUGAAGGAGAAAUAUACACAACCUAGGUAUUCAUUCAAAGAGAUUUGCUUUGGCAAUUGGAGUUUCUGGCUCUGGCAUAUCAUUUUUGACAGAGCAGCUGGCUUUUUACGGAGAGGAACUAUCAGGCUGCUUGACCAUCAUGGUGCCUCAAGAUGAUGACUUCAGAACAGAAUUUUUUGACAGGACUAUGAUCUAUCAGAGUAUCAAGCUAUCGCAUUAUCUUAACAGAUGACAUUACUAUUUCAGUCACAUUGCUUGCUACCCAAAUUUGGAAGUUGAUGCAAAAACUAAGAUGUUGUUUUGGAUGCUGACAUAUAAGAAAGGAUCGAUGCAGCUUUCUCUCCGUUCGCUAGAACCCCAGUUGAUAAUUUUUAGAGUUUAACUACUGCCUUUUACCGCGAUGUGAGACACUGCACUCAGAACUCAACUCUCUUAGCGAUUUAAUGUCAUGUUUUCUCUCUCGGAUUGUUCACAAUAACAGAGCUAGAGGGUUAUUUUUUGGUUAUUCAAAUACUCUGAGCGGUUCCAGAA